UCCUGAUCCUACUGAAUUCCCUUUUUCAGU
This 30-nucleotide non-coding RNA is filed under the name Homo sapiens (human). Lineage: Eukaryota; Metazoa; Chordata; Mammalia; Primates; Hominidae. The record is from RNAcentral.